CGUAUAAUAUUUGUUUAAUUUUGGUUUUUAAUUUAGUGUCUAUAAAUAAGAGAUGUACAAAAAAUUUGUAAAAAGAAGAAAAAAAUAAUAAUUUUACCAAGAAUAUUUUCUUGAUAUUAGAGCCUCUGAAUUCCAAAUAGAGUACAGAUAUUUCAAUACCUUAAAAUAAUUUUGCUCCGACCAGUGAAUUUUACUAUAGAAAAACUUUACAUAGGAACGUUUGAUGCACUUCCCGACCUGGGUAGAUCUUAAAGGGGAAGAUGCUGUGCCCGAGACUGUCCACCAUGUUGUCGUAAACAUUGAUCUCCGAACGGAUAGUAGCUGGAGCAAUCUUCGUCGCCAUCUAAAAUAAAUAAAUAAAUAAAUAUGUUUAUUCAGAGACAUUAAGUGAGGCGGUGAAGCUGCUGAAAAGAGAGUACUGUACUGCAUUUGAGGCUAUUAACACACACAAAAUGGAUCAAGCACUAAUAUUCUGCCGCACUAAGUUGGAUUGUGACAAUUUAGAGCGCUAUUUUAAUCAGAUCGGAGGAGGGGCCAAUAACAGAGGCAAUCCAUAUUCGUGUGUGUCUCUCCAUGGUGACCGCAAGUCUAAUGAACGCAAAGCGAAUCUCCAAAAAUUUAAGGAUGGUGGAGUGAAGUUCCUUAUAUGCACUGAUGUAGCUGCUCGAGGAAUUGAUGUUGGAGGCCUGCCGUUUAUAGUCAGUGUGACACUGCCAGAUGAGAAGAGCAACUAUGUUCAUCGUAUUGGGCGUGUGGGUAGAGCAGAGGUCUAGCUAUCUCCCUUGUUGCUGCUGUGCCAGAGAAGGUGUGGUACCAUGGAGAGUGGUGUUCAACUCGUGGGCGUAACUGUUUUAACACGCGGUUGACAACGGAAGAUGGUUGUUGCAUUUGGUACAACGAAUCACAGUACCUAGCUGAUAUUGAAGAGCACUUGGGAGUGACCAUCCAGCAGGUCGAUCAAGAAAUGAAAUUUCCAGUUGAUGAAUUUGAUGGCAAAGUGAUUUAUGGUGAAAAGAGAGCCAAUGUUGACGAUUACAAACAGGCCAAAUGGGACCGCCGCAUAGUGGAGAACAUUGCCACAGCAUUGCUGGAGGCAGCUUCUGGGAAGGACAAAGUGCGUCUCCUAAGUGCUUUUACAAUUCGAUUUUGAAGAAGACAUCUCCCAAUCAAUUUGGCGAGAAUUUUCUGACCAGUUGUGAACGCAAGUUAGCACACAAGUAUACGAGCGCCCAAAAUCUUUUACACAAACGACAUGUACAGACAGGCGUAUGGCUUAUGACUGCAUUUUUAUUGAUUAAUAUUACAUAUUAGGCGCUUAACUUUAUUAUUUAUUAUUAUUUACAAGUAUAACUAUCACAUAAU
Non-coding RNA from Procambarus clarkii (red swamp crayfish), 1362 nucleotides. Lineage: Eukaryota; Metazoa; Arthropoda; Malacostraca; Decapoda; Cambaridae. The record is from RefSeq and is a predicted model, not a curated record.